This 463-nucleotide ribosomal RNA is filed under the name uncultured bacterium. Its description in RNAcentral is "partial 16S ribosomal RNA". It matches the Rfam family "Bacterial small subunit ribosomal RNA", at positions 28 to 507 of the family's 1533-position model. The record is from RNAcentral.
GAUGAACGCUGACAGAAUGCUUAACACAUGCAAGUCUUUGGCGAAGCUGUGCUUGCACAGCCUAGCCAAGGCGGACGGGUGAGUAACGCGUCAGGAACUUGCCCUGCAGUCAGGGAUAACAGACGGAAACGACUGAUAAGACCUGGUAAAGUCAGGCGGACUCAUGUCCAGCCUGAUGAAAAGAGAUGCUGCAGGAGAGCCUUGCGUCCUAUUAGCUUGUUGGUGGGGUAACGGCCCACCAAGGCGAUGAUAGGUAGCCGGCCUGAGAGGGUGGACGGCCACAAGGGGACUGAGAGACGGCCGUUACUCCUACGGGAGGCAGCAGUGGGGAAUAUUGGACAAUGGGGGCAACCCUGAUCCAGCAAUUCUGUGUGCACGAUGAAGGUUUUCGGAUUGUAAAGUGCUUUCAGCAGGGAAGAAAAAAAUGACGGUACCUGCAGAAGAAGCGACGGCUAAAUACGUG